AACGAGAACUGGGGAUUUUUUUUCUUCAAAUAAAUUAAUUAUUUCAAGUCCUCUUCCCACAGGGUCGACUCCACCCCCCUGGGAAAUCCAGCCCAUCAGCAAUUGGCUCAGACCUGGCCCCUUCAUCUCGGGUAACCAAUGAGCAGCCAGGAAAGAAGUGUGGUUUCCUGUGCCUGUAGCUCCGCCCUCUUCGUCAUGGAGGGGAGUGAGAAGGCGUGUGCUGCCCAAACCCAUUGACCUCUAACCUCUCUUGACCCCUAACCCCAAUCCUGUCCUUGUGCUCUCAACAGUUAUAUUCCUCCUUCAUCAGUCCUACAAUCAAGAAGUGCUGUUCUCUCCUUUUACAGUUCUCUCUUCUUCCUCUGGUUUGGUUUCUUCAGUGCGUCUUCAAUUUGUGUAUCUGGUUGUGUGUCAUUCAACUUUUCUUUUCCUUGUUUCUAAAAUCAGAUGUUGUAGUUUUUCCCCGAUGUGGUGAUUCCCCAGAUCUCAUCUGUAGAGCUCCUGAGAUGUGGCGCGGAGAGAGGAAGAGGCCGUCUGUCUGUCUCUCCAGGUGUGGAAAGUAGAAAACAGCACGUUCCUUUGAGACUAGGAUGUUGGUUUUUGGUUAAAUGGAUGAAGAAACCCACCGCAGGAACACAAGACUUGUUGAAGAGGGACGAGGGAUGGACUGGCUGAACUGGUGGAAUCUGGAUCAGCAUCUUAUUUAAAUGCUGAAAACUCCCCUGGAAUGAAGAGAAGAGAGAGAAGAUCAGGUUGGAAGAGAGGAGAGAGGAGACAGCAGUACAGAGUGGAAGAGAGAGAGGAGAGAGAGAGACAGCAGUACAGAGUGGAAGAGAGAGAGGAGAGAGAGAGCAAGGAGAGAGACAGCAGUACAGAGUGGAAGAGAGAGAGGAGAGAGAGAGAG
Long non-coding RNA from Oncorhynchus tshawytscha (Chinook salmon), 904 nucleotides. NCBI's taxonomy places the organism in Eukaryota, Metazoa, Chordata, Actinopteri, Salmoniformes, Salmonidae. The record is from Ensembl.